Thecamonas trahens ATCC 50062 is the source of this 120-nucleotide ribosomal RNA. NCBI's taxonomy places the organism in Eukaryota, Apusomonadida, Apusomonadidae. The record is from Rfam.
GAAUGCGUUCAUCCUAUGCUGAAAAUACCCGAUCCCGUCUCGCUCUCGGAAGUCAAGCAGCAUGAGGCUUGGUUAGUACUGUGGUGGGGGACCACACGGGAAUACCGAGUAACGCAUUCU